AACGAACGCUGGCGGCGUGCCUAACACAUGCAAGUCGAACGAGAAAGGGGCUUCGGCUCCGAGUAAAGUGGCGCACGGGUGAGUAACACGUGGGUAACCUGCCUCUAAGAUUGGGAUAACUCGUCGAAAGAUGAGCUAAUACCGAAUAAGACCACAGUUCCCGCGGGAACAGGGGUCAAAGGUAGCCUCUGCUUGCAAGCUAUCACUUAGAGAUGGGCCUGCGCACCAUUAGCUAGUUGGUAGGGUAACGGCCUACCAAGGCAAAGAUGGUUAGCUGGUCUGAGAGGAUGAUCAGCCACACUGGACCUGAGACACGGUCCAGACUCCUACGGGAGGCAGCAGUGGGGAAUAUUGCGCAAUGGGCGAAAGCUUGACGCAGCAACGCCGCGUGAGUGAUGAAGGCCUUCGGGUCGUAAAGCUCUGUCGGGAGGAACGAAUGCUCCUGAGGUUAACAGCCUCGGGAGGUGACGGUACCUUCAAAGGAAGCACCGGCUAACUCUGUG
This 503-nucleotide ribosomal RNA is filed under the name uncultured bacterium. Its description in RNAcentral is "partial 16S ribosomal RNA". It matches the Rfam family "Bacterial small subunit ribosomal RNA", at positions 29 to 507 of the family's 1533-position model. The record is from RNAcentral.